RNAcentral lists this long non-coding RNA (1069 nucleotides) under Heterocephalus glaber (naked mole-rat). RNAcentral's name for it is "lncRNA (ENSHGLG00100051112.1)". The record is from RNAcentral. Lineage: Eukaryota; Metazoa; Chordata; Mammalia; Rodentia; Bathyergidae.
GGGGGGCGUCGGCGGCGGGGCCAGGCCCCCUCCCUCCAGGCACCCGGCCGCCCCUCCGUGCUGGCUUCUCGUUCCCGGGGAGGCCGCCACCUCCUCCCUCUCAUUUUAAGCCCUUAAAUGGGCUUCAGCUUUUCUCUGCGCAUGACUGUGAAGGGAUUAAACUCAGGAUCUCCUGCUUGCCUGGCAGGCCCUGUGCCGCUGAGCUACAUCCCCGGCCCUACCCAGGUUUGGAUCCUUGUGGUGUUGUCUAGUCUAUCACUGGAGGGAAGUGACAUAAUGCCUCUAGUUCUUCAUCUGUCAGCCUGCACAGACUGGGUUUGAGGAGGAGAAUGGAGACUGCUGUGGCCCUUUGUGCUUUAUCUGACCCACUCCCAACUGGAAUUGCACACCAGCUGAGGCACUGGGACCCCAGCACUGGCACUGAGCCAGACAGGGACUUGUGCUCUAUGGGAAAUACUGUUCUGGGUCAGCAUUUUGCUUCUGCCCAGGCUGUGUGGCCAGCCAGGGUCUUCCUGAAUCCGUUUCCUCUGUAGAUGGGUCCACUGCAGUUAUGGGAGCCCCACACAAGAAGUUCUGAGGGUGCCUGGGCUCUGGAGGGGUGUUCUGUGAGGGUGGCUGCAGUGGCACUUUCUCCUGCAGGUCCACGCCGGGCUUGUGCAUCACAAGCAUCGUUAGGAGGUGUUCUCUGCCAACUCUCUGAUGUGGACCUUUCUUAGCCGGGCCUCAGUUUCUCCAUGUCGUCAGCCAUUGCAUCAGUCACAGUGACCUUUUCAAACAUCCUGAGCUCGUGAGUAGUCUGAGGGCAUGGUGUCAGGUCCCAAACCUGUCCUGAGUGAGUUGUCUUUGAGGAGCCCCUGCUUUCCCAGGCAGAAGGGGACAGAAAGUGACGUGGAGGUUGGGUCGAGGCUUGACCUGCUGCCUGGCUGCUCCUCCAGUCACGGAGCAGUUAAAUGUGGAUGACUUCUCUUGGAAGUGGGGAUGAAGCCUGACCCGGAAAAGCCUACCUGCUUGGAGCCCCGAAGGCCUUGCUGGGCUACUUGCUGUACGGUGAGUGCCAGGAGGAGAGGUG